RNAcentral lists this ribosomal RNA (400 nucleotides) under Lasiochilus japonicus. Its description in RNAcentral is "partial 16S ribosomal RNA". The record is from RNAcentral. Lineage: Eukaryota; Metazoa; Arthropoda; Insecta; Hemiptera; Anthocoridae.
GCCGCAAUAUAUUAAUUGUGCAAAGGUAGCAUAAUCAUUUGUUUUUUAAUUGGAAACUUGUAUGAAUGGUCGAAUAAAAAGUAAACUUUAUUACUAAUAAAUAUUAUAAUUUUAUUUUUAUGUUAAAAAGCAUAAAUUAUUUUAUGGGACGAUAAGACCCUAUAGAAUUUUAUAUAAUUAUAUUAAUAUUAUAUUUGUUAUUUUAUAUAUUAUGUUGAAAUUAUAUUUUGUUGGGGCGACAAUUAAUUAUUUAUAACAUUAUUUUAUUUAUCAUUGAUUUUUGAUUAUUUAGAUCCUAAUAUUUUAGAUUAUAAGUUUAAAUUACCUUAGGGAUAACAGCGUAAUUUAUUUUUAGAGUUCUUAUCAAUAAAUAAGUUUGCGACCUCGAUGUUGGAUUAAA